Molecule: ribosomal RNA, 429 nt
Filed under: uncultured bacterium
Lineage: Bacteria
Description: bacterial SSU rRNA
Rfam family: Bacterial small subunit ribosomal RNA
Source: RNAcentral
AUUGAACGCUGGCGGAAUGCUUUACACAUGCAAGUCGAACGGCAGCACGGGGCAACCUGGUGGCGAGUGGCGAACGGGUGAGUAAUACAUCGGAACGUGCCCAAUCGUGGGGGAUAACGUAGCGAAAGUUACGCUAAUACCGCAUACGAUCUACGGAUGAAAGCGGGGGAUCGCAAGACCUCGCGCGAAUGGAGCGGCCGAUGUCAGAUUAGGUAGUUGGUGGGGUAAAGGCUCACCAAGCCGACGAUCUGUAGCUGGUCUGAGAGGACGACCAGCCACACUGGGACUGAGACACGGCCCAGACUCCUACGGGAGGCAGCAGUGGGGAAUUUUGGGACAAUGGGCGCAAGCCUGAUCCAGCCAUUCCGCGUGCAGGAUGAAGGCCUUCGGUUGUAACUGCUUUUGUACGGUAACGAAACGGUUACGUAC